CAGUUUGAUCCGAAGUUCAAUGCGAGUAGUUCACGGUUGUCUCAAAACUUUUUGGCGAAUUUUUUUAUGUGUUCUAAUAAAACGGUCAAUUAUCUUGGACUUAUCAAAUUUACUCAACUUAUAAAAGAUGUUGAAGCUGCUGCUGUUGCUGCCUGUGCUGGCCCAAGCACUGGACUCCAGCUUUGCAACCAGCUCGUUGCUGGAGGGUCUCACACAGCUGAUGCUUAGUCCAUCCAGCAAUCAAACGACGCGAUGCGGACAAGAGCUGCUGGCGCUGCAUGCAGCCUGGCAGCGACACGAAGCCUGGGCGCUCAAGGCCUUCGAUGCAUCGGGCAGCGGGUAUGCCAACAUACUGAUGGGCGACGCACACUUUUUGGGCAGCCGCACCACCUGCCAAGCGGUCAAUCAGCUUGUGCUCAGGUAUUACACAUCGAAGCAGCAGCAUCUGCUGGACAGUCUGGCGCCCUUUGGCUUCGACUAUCGCGUGGUUUAUGUCAAUGCCACAACGCGUUUCAAGCUGCGUUUCCUACAUAGACCCGCGACGCUGAUGCACAUUGGACUCUGUGUGCCGCAGAGCUGUGAACGCGACGAGCUGGAACAGCUGUUGCGCCAGACACUCGCGGUGCAACCAUUGGAGCAUCAGUACAUGGAGCUGCAGCCUCAGUUGGUGUACACAAAGAAACCACAAUUUGUGGGUCGCUUUCUUGAGAGUCGCGCCUUUCGAUUGCUCAUCACUCUUCUCUCGAUUGUGCUGCUGCUGACGCUGCUCAGCAAUGUGCUGCCCAAGGGCUGGAGUCGUGUGCUCGACUGCUUUCAUGUGCCCAGCAAUUGGCAGCGUUUGUCCGACAGCAGCAAAGAGAUUGCCGUCAUCAAUGGGCUGCGUGUGGUGGGCGCCAUCUCGAUGUUGAUACUCCAUGUGCCGUGGUACUCGUUAUCGGUUAAUCACACGGCGGGCACACUCAAGGCCAUUACGAGCCUUUGGCUGCAUCAUUCCUAUGUGCCGGCCAUGGUCGAGAUGUUCUUCACUAUCAGUGGCUUCCUCACUGUGUCCAGCUUUCUCAGCAAUCGCGCCCAGCUGCAGCGCUUGGCCGAGCAGCCGCUGUCCAGCAAUCUGGUCGCCUACCUCAAGUCCUUGCUGCAGCGCUACUUGCGUCUGGUGCCCAUGCAGAUUGUGCUCAUGCUUCUGGUGACCGUUGCCAUUAGCUAUUAUCGUGAGGUGUCUCUGCUGCACGUCCAUGUGCCACUGGAUGACUACUGUGCCCAGGACUGGUGGCAGAAUGUGUUGCUCAUCCAGAAUCUGUUCAGCACCCAUUAUAUGUGCGCCAAUUGGACUUGGUCGCUGGCCUGCGAGAUGCAGUUCCAUAUGCUCGCCAUGCUCCUGCUCCAUUUGUAUGUGCAUCGUCCGAAGCUGGUGCGUCGUCUCGUUGUCGGCAUACUGGUGGCCAAUCUGGUGUAUUCGCUUGCCUUGGUCGUCACGAUGGACAUUCAAAUGCGCUUCGAAAUUCUCUCUCCGCAGAUGAACGAUCAUUUCUACUUUAAUUCGUUUGUGCGUUUGCAGACAUAUGCCGUCGGCGCCGUCUAUGCCCAUGCCCACGUCAAUGGGAUGCGUGAUGGAAAGACACCGCUUGACUUGGUCUUUCCGGGGCGUCUAGUGAAAUCCUUGGCUGCCACAGCCGUGUUGUGGGUGAUUUGGCAAUUGCAACUGCAGGCGAACGAUCAGAAUAAGCAGCUCAUUGCUGCCGGCCUCAUAAUGAUACGUCUCAUCAUUUCGCUGAUUACGUUACAUUUGAUUUUGGCCAACUUUAGCACUGAACGUUGUUCUUUCGUCAUUCGGUGGGGAACGCAAUUGCUGCAAGCAAAUUGUUUUCAGUUCUUAGGCAAAUUGACGUUUACGUUUUACCUGAUUCAUCCGUUGCUUAUUAUGUGUUUUAAUUAUGGUUUUAGCUAUUUACUGCCUUCCGAUUUUAGUCUUUGGUCCAUCCUUUCGAUUGCGUACACAGUUAUUGGCUUUGCAAUGUCCACCGUGUUGACGCUGUUCCUUGAAAUGCCGUUCAAUAGACUUACCAAUUUGUUGAUGUCUUCACUUGCCACACAACAAGCUCCAGAGUCCAAGAAUAAAGAUAAAUAAAUACUCGAUUAAUAUAGACGUUAAGUUUACGUUAUAUUUUUGCGCUCGGCUGCGCUCAGUUUUGCGUUGCUCUUUUUUAAGCAAGUUCGCCAAUCACGAUACCGACGACGACGGCGACGAAGGAGGUGGCACUUCUGGCGGAUCGACGGAGAGAGUCAACUGCCAGUGGGCGGACAAAAUGCAACUGUGCCGCUCACCCACACUUUGCCGCGCAGCGCCGAACGAGAACGGGAGCGCGAUCGGGAGCGCGAUAGAACGCGAA
RNA transcript from Drosophila nasuta, 2390 nucleotides. It is a transcript of the gene named nose resistant to fluoxetine protein 6-like, with no coding region annotated. The transcript has 6 exons. Lineage: Eukaryota; Metazoa; Arthropoda; Insecta; Diptera; Drosophilidae. The record is from RefSeq and is a predicted model, not a curated record.